RNAcentral lists this transfer RNA (85 nucleotides) under Felis catus (domestic cat). It matches the Rfam family "tRNA". From Rfam's summary of the family: Transfer RNA (tRNA) molecules are approximately 80 nucleotides in length. The record is from Rfam by way of RNAcentral. Lineage: Eukaryota; Metazoa; Chordata; Mammalia; Carnivora; Felidae. RNAcentral also lists the same sequence under 2 other names.
GCCUGGGUGGCUCAGUAGGUUAAGCAUCCGAUUUCAGCUCAGGUCAUGAUCUCACGGUUUGUGGGUUCGAGUCCCACAUCGGGCU